This 67-nucleotide microRNA precursor is filed under the name Bombyx mori (domestic silkworm). RNAcentral describes it as "mir-2774 microRNA precursor family". It matches the Rfam family "mir-2774 microRNA precursor family". The record is from Rfam by way of RNAcentral. Lineage: Eukaryota; Metazoa; Arthropoda; Insecta; Lepidoptera; Bombycidae.
ACAAAAUUUGGACCACCGGUCUACCCAGCAUUUACACCCGCUCGUUGGAAGAUCUUCCUUUUGUUAU